UAUAACCCGUGGCCGCCAUGGCCCAUCUCCUCCGUUCCCUGUUGUUGAGGGUGGCUCUCUUUUCCUGUCAUUCAGACCUGAUCUCUGACCUGCCCAAGGAUGGCGUGAAUCUGAAAACAAUUCACAAUGGCAUGAAAUGCAAAGAUGUUGGCAUUCAUCAGAUGACUCAUUGCUGUUAGCUACACGCCACUCCUGAGAUACCAGUGCUCCUGACUCCUUCUGCCCUCCAGACCUGCCUGAUCCAUCCUGAUGGACCUACUUCUGCUUGAAGCCUCGCUCACCUGAAAAUCAUUUACUGCUGCUAGAAGAUUGCCCUGUAUGGACAGCCUACAGAUCACCAUGGGUUUACUGUGGAUGGUAAGACACAGAAACCCUAAAGAUGGCUGUGGAUGUUCUUUCAUGGAUAGCCUAAAGAUUGCAAUUGUUAAGAACAAGUCUCAAUCAUUGAACAGUUCAUAACUUCAGUUUGAUACAAGAAACUUUAACUUAAAACUCUACUGAUGCUCAUACUCAAGUUCCUUUUAACACAUUUAAGACUGCUUGACUUUAUAGUAUACAGUUAUAGAAGUAGAAUGAUUUAUAAUCACACUAUGGUGUCACCCAGAUGAGAAUGGGUUUCCAUUUGAGUCCCUUCAGGGUUUCUUCCAGUUCAUCACCUCUGGCUUGCUCAUUACGGAUAAAUUUAAAUUAAAAUUUUAUAUCCAGAUUUCUGCAAAGCUGCUUUGUGACAAUGUCCAUUGUUAAAAGUGUUAUACAAAUAAAAUUUAAUUGAACCACUCCUCAA
Long non-coding RNA from Pangasianodon hypophthalmus (striped catfish), 784 nucleotides. RefSeq lists it as uncharacterized. The transcript has 2 exons. Lineage: Eukaryota; Metazoa; Chordata; Actinopteri; Siluriformes; Pangasiidae. The record is from RefSeq and is a predicted model, not a curated record.